Long non-coding RNA from Ursus thibetanus thibetanus, 4262 nucleotides. Lineage: Eukaryota; Metazoa; Chordata; Mammalia; Carnivora; Ursidae. The record is from Ensembl.
GGAUUUAGGACCAGCGAGCUGAUGGGUCCUGGGAAGAGGAGGACGGAAAACGCCCCGUGGCACCACUGACCAGCCCCCACGGCGGGGAGAGUUCCGUAGGCCGCGUCCGCGGGAUUCAGGCCGUUUGGCAUUCACAGAGCAGCUGGGCCCGAUAAUGAGGGAUCUCUGCAGAGCCUUUGCAGGGUGCAAAGCCCUUGCAUUCUGUUUAUCUUUCCAUAGCCCCGAGAAGUGGGCCGGGCAGGGACAGUUACCUUUAUUUUACAGAUGAGAAAACGGAGGCCCAGUGAGGGGGAAUAGCAUGCGUUUGGUCUCUCUGGGAGUAAAUGUCCAGACCGGUUCUCUAGCCGCUGAAAGCAAGGCCUGGUGAUGAGGUGGGGGCCUGCAAGGGGGCAGGCGUGGGGCCCGGUGUGUGCGCCUCUGCACGGGCUCUCUGUAGGGGCAUCAGAAGCUACGUUAAGCUGAGGCUUUAGGCUGGGUGGUCACUCCCCAGGUCCAGGCAGGUAACUGUGAGGAGAGCAGGGAAGGGGGCCAGGGGCAAAGCGGAGAGCUGCCCCCCCUCCCAGAGCACCGCGGGCCGCCUCUGGGUUUAAAGAACACAGCUCCUUCCCACCUGGGGCAGAGGCCCCAAGGUCCCCGGUGAUAGACUCAGGGAGGGCAGAGUGGGGCCCGGUCCCAGCAGGGUAGGAUCGGCUGUGGGUGAUGCAGGUCCAGCUGGGAUGGGAUCUCUCCUCUGCCAGAGAGUCACCCGGGAGCUGGACCCGCGCUACAUAACAGCACGUGGGCAGCCUGUUCCGCGGCGGCUUCCGCCAGACGCUCUCCUACCAGCUGAUGCGCUCCGCAGGCCUCUACGCCGCCACCUGCCUCGACAUCCUGCGCUACCCGCUCAGCUCGCUGCAUCGGGUGGCCGGAGCUGGGCUCCUGUUUCGUCUGUUGGUAGCAUCAUCUGGCAUCAUCUAGAGGCUUAGAAGGAAUAUACCUACGUAACUGAAAUGACACAACAAACUCUCAAAGGAACAGGUCUGUGAAACAGUUCGCUAGUUUCUCUUUCUGGGGAUAAUCAAGGGAAACAUUUGGAAUAUCUGAGGAUAAAUAAGGGCCAACAGGCCACGUACUGAGAGAGUUUCAGAAGCUAGGUCUGGCCCUGCCAAGGCCUUUCGUUCUUCUUCCUGGCUUGACUUGUGGGCCUGUUCGGUAAAGCGGCUUCUCCAAGCAGAGACCAGGUAUCCCUGGCCUUGCGUCUUCAAACACUGCAUUCUUGUUCAAGGGCUACGGGGUAGAAUUUUAUCAGGAAAAUUGCUCAGACUCUAGGGCCCAUACUUUUCUGGAAAGAUGCUGAAAUAUGGUGCAGUAGCUAAUACUACAGAACUCAACCAUUAGAAUUCCCUGCUAGGGAGUGAGAAUGCAGAGAGGCUGGGGAUGAACAGCCACCAGAAGAAUGCUUGGGGUCUGAGGAAGAGUGAGGGAGGAGGAGGGGGAAGCGGUGGCCAAAGGGCCUUUCGCAUGCUUUUCCUUCUGCCGGAAGCAUCCCCUACCUCUUCUCCUGUUAAACCUGCUCUUGCCUCAGACUCGAGGGGCCUCUCCACCUCCCUGUGACUGGAUCAGGUCCUUCUGUUGGUCCCAUCCUAGAGACCUUGGUUUCUGGGGAUUAUUCCAUUUUCACACAUUUGUGUCCCGCUGGACUCUUGGCUUCAUGGGGCCAGGUCACGUGGCUCAUUGUUGCAUCUCUGGCAUCUUCGGUGUCUUGUGUGUUCCACCGAGUAAACUACAUCACCUGGUUUAUUAUUACAUUGCAGGGGAAAGGGUGGGGCAAAAGAUAGAUUGUAAGACAAGAGGAAGUGGGGAAAGACUAGAAAGCUUUGGAUGAGAACUCUGCUAAGCUCGUAGGAAGUCAGCUGGGGCAUGGUAGGGUGGAAGAUACUUCUAUUUGGGGCUGUUCAUUUAAUGCAGGUGUUUUUUUUUUUUUUAAACCUAUUGUUACCUCUGUACUCAUUUACCUACACUUUAGUUGGAAAUGUGCCCCAUUAUUCCAAAGACUAUAGUAGACACUGAUAGUCCAUUUCGGGAAGAAUUUUUAGUUGGGCAUGUGGGCACCCAAAAUACGUUUCCCAGCCUUCUUUGAAGAUAAGUGUAUGUGCUCAAUGGCCCCACAAUCCUAAAUAGAAAUAAUGUGUCCAUCUUCCAAGUUGUAACCUUAAAAAGGAGAGGGGCAUGUGUUCUAUCUCCUCUCUUCCCGGGUCCCUCUGGCUGGAAUGUGACAUUGGUUGGGGAGCCAUCUCUGGUUAUAUGGAUGAGGCUGUAUCCCGGGGAUGGCAGAGCCGUAAGACAGAUGUGGCCUGGCCUUGGCACCAAACACUGGACAGUUUCACUUGAACUACUGAUGUAAGAGAGACACGUUUCCCUUUGGGACUAGUAACAGCAGCUCAAUCGAUACCCUAAUUCUGACAUCCAGCCCUGAGCAGUCAGAAAGGAAGGGAAUGGAAGCAUCGCCCCUGAGUUAGCGGCCUGGUGGUAAAAAAUGUAAUCAAGUACCUCAUUUGUAGAAUAAACAACCGUACUCUGGCUCUCAUAGCAAUUCCUGUUUGGUAAAUGGGAACAGUUCAAGAAGUUCUUCUUCCAUAUCGCCUUCUUACUCCUCAUGUCCUUACUUGGCGUAGAGGCGGGGAUUGAAAGGUCUGGACUUGGCGCCAGACAGCCCUGAGUCUGAAAUUUCAGCCCUAUCAUUGACCGUCUAAGUAGCGUCUCCAUACCUAUGUCAUAAGGCUAUUGCGAAGAUGUAGUGAGAUAAGAUGCAUGGAACACAGCCAGAGGAAGCGCUGAAUGACAGUGUCCUACACAAGUGUUUGUGUGUGUGGGACUUCUCCCCUAGCAACCGACAGAAACCUAACUGAAACUGGCCUUCAGAGCUCGUGAUCUCUCAGCAGCUCCCUGGGCAUUAUUUGGCUUCACAGAUAAAGGGAGGCUGUCCAAAGGGAAGGAAAGGGCUGGCUGUGUGGAGUCCUGCAGUUUGGUUGUGGUGACCAUCUAUUCUUAUUGAAAAUUAGUAUAUCAACUUUAUGGUUUUAUAGCUCAGUUUUAUGAACCUUGUCUUUAUAAACCUGACCUAGAGAGAUGAUGCUUCCCUCAUUGUGAUAAAAUCUAGCUCCUGGGUGAGGGUGAUGGGCAGACCCUUGAUCAAGGUGAGUUCUCCAUGGUAAUGAAUGUUCCCUAUGAGGCCUCUUGAGAUUGCCUAGAAGAGUUUCCCUGGACAAAACCCUGAUUCUCUAGGCCAAGCCAUCAUCACUGUUUUUUUUUUUUAAUAAUAAAUAAAAUAAAUGGAUAAGCAGGAAUGAACAAAGUUUAAUUUUUUUGUUUUAGAUAAUACUUAAAUAUUAAGAAAGCUAAAAUUUUAAAAUUCACAAUAUGUUGGCUAGGUUUUUCUAUACAUUAUAUUUACAUAAUGAUUCUAAUUUUAACUUUCCAAGAACAGUUGCCCAGGAAGAAGGAAAGGCAACCUAUAAUAGUCUCUGGGGCUUGUACUGUCUUCUCAGGUCAGGUGUCCUGUAGCAAAGAACUGAAGUGAAGAAGCAAGUGACCCUGCCCUCCCCUCUCCCCUGCUCCCUUUUGUUUUUCUUUGAAGCACUUCUGAAUAACAAAUGCAAAAUUAGAUUUGGAUAUAAAAGCUAGACGACUACCGCAGUUCAGAACUGUGUUCCACUGGAGAAGCCCCAGCACAGCCAGGGUGGGAAUUACCCCUCAUCUGUAGGGUGCUGUGACAGAAGUCAGAGUCGCAUACAAAAGUCACCUGGGAUCUCUGAGCAAAAGCACAGCUAGCGUCAGCUCCGUAAAAUGAGGGGAUUUGAUCAGACAGUCUGUCGCAUGGCAUCUGGUCCAGAAGGCUAGCUUCAAAGCUCCCCUCGGGGCAGAUAGGCCUCGCCCUCUCCGCUAAGGCAGAUGCAGGAAGGAAAGUCCAUCAUCCUGCGGCACCAGCCUCUUGAUGUGAAAAAAAGAACUACACUGAGAGUAAAUUAGGUCAAUAAGGUGAACAUUUUUUACCAUACUUGUGGGGUAAAUGAAUAUUCAAUAGCUUAAAAUUUAUGUACUAUAAACUGUGGCAAACUAUAGUCUUAAAUAAACCAAAGACAGUCCCGUGGGGAUAUUAAAUUCGAGAGUAAGCCCAGUGACUAAAUCCUAAGGGCCCACAGUCUGCCUGUCCGUUAUAUAGUUUUGCCCAGGUCACCUGGCCAAGGGUAUUUCACGGAGUCUCUGAAACACCUUUAAAAAAA